RNAcentral lists this ribosomal RNA (460 nucleotides) under uncultured Methanomicrobiales archaeon. Its description in RNAcentral is "bacterial SSU rRNA". It matches the Rfam family "Archaeal small subunit ribosomal RNA", at positions 881 to 1338 of the family's 1478-position model. Lineage: Archaea; Methanobacteriati; Methanobacteriota; Methanomicrobia; Methanomicrobiales. The record is from RNAcentral.
ACAACAGGUCGGAGCCUGCGGUUUAAUCGGACUCAACGCCGGGAAACUCACCAGAUAAGACAGCUGAAUGAUAGUCGGGCUGAAGACUCUACUUGACUAGCUGAGAGGAGGUGCAUGGCCGUCGUCAGUUCGGUACUGUGAAGCAUCCUGUUAAGUCAGGCAACGAGCGAGACCCACGCCAACAGUUGCCAGCUCGUCCUCCGGGAUGGUGGGGACACUGUUGGGACCGCCUCUGCUAAAGAGGAGGAAGGAAUGGGCAACGGUAGGUCAGCAUGCCCCGAAUUAUCUGGGCUACACGCGGGCUACAAUGGGUGGGACAAUGGGUAUCUACCCCGAAAGGGGACGGAAAUCUCCUAAAACCAAUCUUAGUUCGGAUUGAGGGCUGCAACUCGCCCUCAUGAAGCUGGAAUCCGUAGUAAUCGCGUUUCAACAGAACGCGGUGAAUACGUCCCUGCUCCUU